AGCAGCCGCGGUAAUUCCAGCUCCAAUAGCGUAUAUUAAAGUUGUUGCAGUUAAAAAGCUCGUAGUUGAAUUUCGGGAUCAAUAUUUCGGUCAUGCCGUUGGUAUGCACUGUUAUCAUUGAUUUCUCACCUUCUAAAGAACCGUAAUGCCAUUAAUUUGGUGUUACGGGGAAUUAGGACUGUUACCUUGAAAAAAUUAGAGUGUUUAAAGCAGGCUCACGCUUGAAUACAUUAGCAUGGAAUAAUGAAAUAGGACAUCCGAUUCUAUUUUGUUGGUUUCUAGGAUCGAUGUAAUGAUUAAUAGGGAUAGUUGGG
This 314-nucleotide ribosomal RNA is filed under the name uncultured Glomeromycotina. Its description in RNAcentral is "SSU rRNA". It matches the Rfam family "Eukaryotic small subunit ribosomal RNA", at positions 569 to 886 of the family's 1831-position model. The record is from RNAcentral. Lineage: Eukaryota; Fungi; Glomeromycota.